This 253-nucleotide ribosomal RNA is filed under the name uncultured bacterium. RNAcentral describes it as "partial 16S ribosomal RNA". It matches the Rfam family "Bacterial small subunit ribosomal RNA", at positions 524 to 776 of the family's 1533-position model. The record is from RNAcentral.
UACGAAGGAGGCUAGCGUUGCUCGGAAUCACUGGGCGUAAAGCGCACGUAGGCGGAUUCUUAAGUCGGUGGUGAAAUCCUGGAGCUCAACUCCAGAACUGCCUUCGAUACUGAGAGUCUUGAGUUCGGGAGAGGUGAGUGGAACUGCGAGUGUAGAGGUGAAAUUCGUAGAUAUUCGCAAGAACACCAGUGGCGAAGGCGGCUCACUGGCCCGAUACUGACGCUGAGGUGCGAAAGCGUGGGGAGCAAACAGG